AGAGUUUGAUCAUGGCUCAGAACGAACGCUGGCGGCGUGCCUAACACAUGCAAGUCGAGGGAGAAAGCCCGCAAGGGUGAGUACACCGGCGAACGGGUGCGUAACACGUGGAUAAUCUACCUCGGUGACCGGGAUAACUGGCCGAAAAGGCUUGCUAAUACCGGAUAAGCCCACGGGAGCUUCGGCUUUCGCGGGAAAAGGCGGCCUCUGCAUGCAAGCUGUCACACCGGGAUGAGUCCGCGGCCCAUCAGCUAGUUGGCGGGGUAAAAGCCCACCAAGGCGACGACGGGUAGCUGGUCUGAGAGGAUGAUCAGCCACACUGGAACUGAGACACGGUCCAGACUCCUACGGGAGGCAGCAGUGGGGAAUCUUGCGCAAUGGGCGAAAGCCUGACGCAGCAACGCCGCGUGUGUGAUGAAGGUCUUCGGAUCGUAAAGCACUGUCGCGAGGGAAGAGAUGUCCCGGAAUAACAAGCCGGGGCUAGGACGGUACCUCGAGAGGAAGCACCGGCUAACUCUGUGCCAGCAGCCGCGGUAAUACAGAGGGUGCGAGCGUUGUUCGGAAUCAUUGGGCGUAAAGCGCUUGUAGGCGGCUUGUUAAGUCGCGUGUGAAAUCCCUUGGCUCAACCAAGGAAGUGCGCGCGAAACUGGCGAGCUGGAGUGCCGGAGAGGGUCGCGGAAUUCCCGGUGUAGAGGUGAAAUUCGUAGAUAUCGGGAGGAACACCAGUGGCGAAGGCGGCGACCUGGACGGACACUGACGCUGAGACGCGAAAGCGUGGGGAGCAAACAGGAUUAGAUACCCUAGUAGUCC
RNAcentral lists this ribosomal RNA (810 nucleotides) under uncultured bacterium. RNAcentral's name for it is "bacterial SSU rRNA". It matches the Rfam family "Bacterial small subunit ribosomal RNA", at positions 8 to 796 of the family's 1533-position model. The record is from RNAcentral.